RNAcentral lists this long non-coding RNA (531 nucleotides) under Lathyrus oleraceus (garden pea). RNAcentral's name for it is "Pisum sativum (pea) long non-coding RNA (PSAT_LNC004178)". The record is from RNAcentral. Lineage: Eukaryota; Viridiplantae; Streptophyta; Magnoliopsida; Fabales; Fabaceae.
AUCCGCUAUAACGGCGCCGCAAAGUGACUGGUAUGGCGGGAUUUUGGCUCUCCUGCCAUGAACCGCCAUCUGGCAUCGACAACACUGGAUGAAAUAUGACAUAAAAGUGAAUUUAUAAAUGGCGUAUGGCGGGAUUUUGGCUCUCCUGCCAUGAACCGCCAUCUGGCAUCGACAACACUGGAUGAAAUAUGACAUAAAAGUGAAUUUAUAAAUGGCGGACAGUCCUCCCCUCGCCUUACAAUCCGGUUUUGUAAGGGUUGAGAGUUAGACUCAUCCAAGAUCCUAAGAGAGAGAGUGCUGACAAAUAAGGGUGCUGUGGUGAGUGCUCUUUAUAAAUAAAUGAGAAGGGUGUGUGUGUGUGUGUGUUAUUUAAGCAUACUUCAAGGAGGUGAGUGCAAUUUCCCCUAAUAACAUUUGAAGCUGCAAUUACUAUGAUAUAUGUUGAAGUUUAACAACAAAGACAAGUUUACAUCACGUUUCUCAUAUCAUUGCCAUCAAGUUCUCAAAUCAAUCUAAUACAUGGGAUAAUUC